This is a long non-coding RNA of Chelmon rostratus (copperband butterflyfish), 1852 nucleotides long. RefSeq lists it as uncharacterized. The record is from RefSeq and is a predicted model, not a curated record. The transcript is spliced from 4 exons. Lineage: Eukaryota; Metazoa; Chordata; Actinopteri; Chaetodontiformes; Chaetodontidae.
UGUAAACAAGCCUGUAGGCAAGACAGCGCGCCGCGGAGGGACGGCAGCGGAGCGCGCUGUCAGAAAUAGAGGCGCCCGCGUUAUUUACACAGCUUUUUGUGCGUUUUUAGGUUGAAUAAGUGCUUGUUGUAUAAGCGAAGAGGUAGAAGAGCUGUGGUUCGCUCUCUGAGAGCACAGGAAAUGUGAUUCCUCAGUAAUGCACCUGUUUCAGCUGCGGAGAAGCGAACCUUUGUCUCGUGUUUAUGGAGACAAGGCCAGUGCACAUGUCAUGCGGCUGAAUAAUAAAAUGUAGAACCAGGCAGAGGAUCCGUCUGAUCAGUGGUUCCUAACCUCCCCCACAGCUCUAUGAGAACAUCAGGCGGCGUAUCCGGCCCGUGUCGGAGUGAAGGGCUGGAUCGAGCUUUCAACAGGUUUUCCCUUUGGCAGUGAACAGUCACAACUACCCUGUAACAACAUGUACUUGUUGGAAAAAGCACAUGCGGAGAUAUUUGCUCCGACAGACCCUGUUAUCAUGUUUAGGCCUAAAGGGAGCGCGCCUGUUAGGACAGAAGUUACUCAACGUCUUUUUAAAAUGUCACAGAAAGGAGAACACGACUGGUCUCCAGCCUUCUUGGCGUGACUUGGAAAGUCUGAAAUCGCCACGUUAAGGGUCUCCAUGCCUGAUCAUAAUGGCCUCAUCUCAGGUAAUUCUCUGGCAUGCGGAGCGACUAUUGUAAUUCUAUGCUUUUUUGUCAGUAUCCAUGGGAAUAUGAAUAAACAGAAGAAAACAACAGUUCCUGGCAGUGUUGUGCCUCCACUUUGCCACCUCCCUUAUAAAUUCUAUUCUCUGUGCAGCUGCCUGUUUCUGCUGCUGCCCCGCUCUGCUCUGCUCUGCUUGGGUCUAAGUUUUAUUCAGCGUUGCGGUCGAGGUUGACCACAGUCCCAGUGACAUUUUGGCAAAGCACAACAGUAUAGGGUCCAGAGUGGUGAGUGUUUACGGGAACACUCGUGAGGUGGCGCCAUGCCAUCCUGCCAAAUGUUAGUCAAAAACACUCAUGUAACCCAGCCAGUGGGAGAGAGAAAUGUGUGAACGCUGAGACAGAUGUACGAUGUGUUGCAGAUUAAUAUGCGAUAUUGUUUUUGUCCUGAACAAUCUCUGUUAAUCACCCCAUCAAUUAUUAACAGCAGUGCUGUGAAUUUCGGGCGGAUUCAGCUCUAAACAACGACAUGUGGUGAUUAGUCGAACACUUCAGUUAUCAGGUUUCAGCUCUAGCUAAAAAACAAAAAAAAAAGUGGCCGACAUCUUAGUCAUAUCUUGAUUAGUCACAUCUCUGUUUAGUCUGUUUAGAUUUAGAGUUGUUCUGUGUACUCAAGUACAGAAAUUCCUUCCUCUGAGUUCUGCUUUUUUCUUUUUUUUUUUUAGUCCUACUUAUCGCCGAAAACUGCUUCAGGAUUUUGUGUUGUUUUUUUUUAUGCAUAUUUUUUGGGCAAACUUUCAAAGAGUUCCAGGGCAGGACGAGCUGCUUGGCAACAGACUCGCUUUUAACAGUCGGGAUCAUGUGGACGAGUGCCAGGACCAACCGAGUGUUACCUGCUCUUGUUCCUGGGUGAGUUUGGGAAAGGCAAGGCCUGAGGGUGGGAGGAAGCUGUUUACCGUAAGAUUAAGCAAAGUGUGUGUGUGUGUGUGUGUGUGUGAACAAGCACGUAUAUCACUUAGGGUGGAGGAUUCAUCAGUGUACGAUUUAUUUUUGACCACAACGUGAACAUCUGCAGGAAGGGAUGAGAUAAGACAAAUGAACAACAGUUUUAAAUGUCGCACAUCUCCACUGAUGAAAAAAAUAUGUUUUGUUGUCAUUAAAGAGACUCGUUUGUG